This 501-nucleotide ribosomal RNA is filed under the name uncultured bacterium. RNAcentral describes it as "bacterial SSU rRNA". It matches the Rfam family "Bacterial small subunit ribosomal RNA", at positions 899 to 1397 of the family's 1533-position model. The record is from RNAcentral.
ACUCAAAGGAAUAGACGGGGCCCCGCACAAGCGGCGGAGCAUGCGGAUUAAUUCGAUGCAACGCGUAGAACCUUACCUGGGUUUGACAUGGAUCGGGAGUGCUCAGAGAUGGGUGUGCCUCUUUUGGGGUCGGUUCACAGGUGGUGCAUGGCUGUCGUCAGCUCGUGUCGUGAGAUGUUGGGUUAAGUCCCGCAACGAGCGCAACCCUUGUUCACUGUUGCCAGCACGUUAUGGUGGGGACUCAGUGGAGACCGCCGGGGUCAACUCGGAGGAAGGUGGGGAUGACGUCAAGUCAUCAUGCCCCUUAUGUCCAGGGCUUCACGCAUGCUACAAUGGCUGGUACAGAGAGUGGCGAGCCUGUGAGGGUGAGCGAAUCUCGGAAAGCCGGUCUCAGUUCGGAUUGGGGUCUGCAACUCGACCUCAUGAAGUCGGAGUCGCUAGUAAUCGCAGAUCAGCAACGCUGCGGUGAAUACGUUCCCGGGGCUUGUACACACCGCCCGU